AGUCCAUUAAGGAUAUUUCUAGGUUUUCCAGAUAUGCUUGUUUCCUUCCCUCCAAAUCUGACGGAGCUAACCGGCAACCUACGCAACCGAAAAAGAAAAUAUACCACUACCCUUGUCCUUUCUAUUUGUCGUCAUUCUUCUUCUGUAAUUUUGCGAAUCAGAGGGUUAAUGAAUGCUCAGUUGACAAGCAUAUAUAUAACCCAUGUUCAAGGCCCAUUAUUAUUAUGUGUGAUCGAUCAUAAACCAUGGGUGCGAGCCUUACUACUUUUGAAAACAACACCGGUGCUGAGCUUCAACUGCGGUUCUUUCGACCCCCGGCGCGACCAGAUCACUUUCGUAGGACCAUUACAAUCAGAGCGGGUGGGAGAGCGAAUAUCUCACACUCAGAGUUGCGUCACAACGACACAAACCCAGAAAGGCACGAGGUCAUAAUAAUAUUUGUCGAUGGCGUUGCCACCGGCGUCGGAUUGGUUCCACGCCAAGUCAUUAACUUCUCGAGAGUCGUUUGUGGCAUUAAUGAAGCUGGAGGAUUGGUCAUCCGGGGAGUCCCAAAAGGGGGGUGCGGAUGCUUUGCAGGAGGGGGUUUAGAGGACCUUGCAUAAGAUCUGAUAUUGGCGCUCUAGUCUGCUACUCGUAGGCCUCCUGCACCACCAGUUGCUGUGUUUUAUCGACUGUAUUUGUCUUGUCAGUUCUAUCUGUAUCGCUAAAAUAAGUGGUUUAUCCACUCAUGUAUGGAUUUUGCUUGAAUUUGGUAAAGUUACAUUGCAAUAUACGAUGAUCUUUCUACUGGCUGC
This is a long non-coding RNA of Mangifera indica (mango), 794 nucleotides long. RefSeq lists it as uncharacterized. The record is from RefSeq and is a predicted model, not a curated record. The transcript has 3 exons. NCBI's taxonomy places the organism in Eukaryota, Viridiplantae, Streptophyta, Magnoliopsida, Sapindales, Anacardiaceae.